Molecule: ribosomal RNA, 556 nt
Filed under: uncultured bacterium
Lineage: Bacteria
Description: partial 16S ribosomal RNA
Rfam family: Bacterial small subunit ribosomal RNA
Source: RNAcentral
UGGGGAAUUUUGGACAAUGGGCGCAAGCCUGAUCCAGCAAUGCCGCGUGCAGGAUGAAGGCCUUCGGGUUGUAAACUGCUUUUGUACGGAACGAAAAGCCUCUCUCUAAUACAGGGGGGUGAUGACGGUACCGUAAGAAUAAGCACCGGCUAACUACGUGCCAGCAGCCGCGGUAAUACGUAGGGUGCAAGCGUUAAUCGGAAUUACUGGGCGUAAAGCGUGCGCAGGCGGUUUUGUAAGACAGUGGUGAAAUCCCCGGGCUCAACCUGGGAACUGCCAUUGUGACUGCAAGGCUGGAGUGCGGCAGAGGGGGAUGGAAUUCCGCGUGUAGCAGUGAAAUGCGUAGAUAUGCGGAGGAACACCGAUGGCGAAGGCAAUCCCCUGGGCCUGCACUGACGCUCAUGCACGAAAGCGUGGGGAGCAAACAGGAUUAGAUACCCUGGUAGUCCACGCCCUAAACGAUGUCAACUGGUUGUUGGGGAUUUAUUUCUUCAGUAACGAAGCUAACGCGUGAAGUUGACCGCCUGGGGGAGUACGGCCGCAAGGUUAAAAACUC